This is a long non-coding RNA of Oncorhynchus gorbuscha (pink salmon), 442 nucleotides long. RefSeq lists it as uncharacterized. NCBI's taxonomy places the organism in Eukaryota, Metazoa, Chordata, Actinopteri, Salmoniformes, Salmonidae. The record is from RefSeq and is a predicted model, not a curated record. The transcript is spliced from 3 exons.
CCAGGUAAUCACUGUUGGUUUGGCAAACCCAGAGCUGAAAACCAGAAAAGAAAUGCUCAUGACCGUAAAGCCACUCUGAAGGCAGAGAAGCAGAACCAGCCGGAGCACCCCGACCGUUUCAUCUACUGGAGACAGAUACUGUGCAGGGAGCCCCUGGCUGGAAGCCUCUUUUACUGGGAGACAGAGUGGACGGGCCAGAAGAGACCUGGACAGAAAGGAGGCUGACGACAGCAGCAGGCUGGGCUACAACGAGCACUCGUGGAGCCUGAACUGGUCUGGGACGGCCUUCUCAAUGUGGCAUGCUGGGAAGGAGACACAGCUAGGCACAACCAAGACUCGCAGGAUGGGGGUGUACCUGGACCAACAUGAAGGAGUACUGGCCUUCUACAGGAUGUCCAACAACCAGGCCCAUCUCAUCCAUUCCAUCUAGACAGACUUUACU